Molecule: ribosomal RNA, 229 nt
Filed under: uncultured bacterium
Lineage: Bacteria
Description: partial 16S ribosomal RNA
Rfam family: Bacterial small subunit ribosomal RNA
Source: RNAcentral
UGCGUAGGCGGAUUAAUAAGUCAGUGGUGAAAACCUUCAGCUUAACUGGAGACUUGCCAUUGAUACUGUUAGUCUUGAGUACGGUCAAGGUAGGCGGAAUGUGUAAUGUAGCGGUGAAAUGCUUAGAUAUUACACAGAACACCGAUUGCGAAGGCAGCUUACUGGGCCAUUACUGACGCUGAGGCACGAAAGCGUGGGGAGCAAACAGGAUUAGAUACCCUGGUAGUCC